UACGUAGGGUGCGAGCGUUGUCCGGAAUUAUUGGGCGUAAAGAGCUCGUAGGCGGUGUGUCGCGUCGGUUGUGAAAGCCCGGGGCUCAACCCCGGGUUGGCAGUCGAUACGGGCAGGCUGGAGUACGGCAGGGGAGACUGGAAUUCCUGGUGUAGCGGUGAAAUGCGCAGAUAUCAGGAGGAACACCGGUGGCGAAGGCGGGUCUCUGGGCCGAUACUGACGCUGAGGAGCGAAAGCGUGGGGAGCGAACAGG
This 253-nucleotide unclassified non-coding RNA is filed under the name uncultured Actinomycetes bacterium. Its description in RNAcentral is "uncultured actinobacterium contains 16S-23S intergenic spacer region". It matches the Rfam family "Bacterial small subunit ribosomal RNA", at positions 524 to 776 of the family's 1533-position model. The record is from RNAcentral. Lineage: Bacteria; Bacillati; Actinomycetota; Actinomycetes.